Molecule: long non-coding RNA, 7476 nt
Filed under: Gossypium barbadense (sea-island cotton)
Lineage: Eukaryota; Viridiplantae; Streptophyta; Magnoliopsida; Malvales; Malvaceae
Description: long non-coding RNA (GBAR_LNC008757)
Source: RNAcentral
GACCACAUUGGAGCGCGAGUGAAACAAGGGGGUUUAAAAAUGGAAUUUACCCAAAUUCCUGAACCCAGCAUUUAAUAUGGACCAAAUUAAAAGUUGCACAAAAUUUCUGGGCGAAAUUCAAAAAAAAAAGUGAAGCAGAUUUGGGCAGCAUUAAAUGCACAGGGAUUUAGUGUGCAAAUUGACCCUUUAAGGGCAAAACACGCGGGCCCCAUCCCUUUACAAUCAAAUAAACCCUUUACCCCCUCCCCAAACAAUUUGCUACUGCACGUUGCAAGCAAAACCAGGGAAAAGGGCAGGCCUUCUCUUCCCUUUUCCUUUGGCUGGGGUUUUGAAUCCCCAAAUGCCACUGACACUAAACCGGAGCCCGACCGACGAAAGUCAAUCCACGAAGGUAAGUAUUCCUUUCUUUAUUCCCUUAUUUCCGUAUAUAUACAAAGAAAACAAAACGAAAAUGAAAUUAAAAGCUAGAAAUAUAAAAAUAGGAAUUUACCCAAAAGAAAUCUCUAACCUAAUUUCCUUCUGAUAUUGUAUUCGAAAUUUUUUUCUAUUUCUUGCUUGGAUCGUGCCUUUACACCCAAAAAAACUCUCUGCUCCUCUUCUUUUACAUAUGAUUUUCGGCUUUAUAUAGCCUUUGUUUACAAUGUUUUUUGUUACUUGUUUUGCAAAUCUGUGCGAGAAUCUCGGAGCCGUGAUGGAGUGGGACGUCGACGUGGCAUGGUGGAGCGAUGUGCGGCGCGCGUGGUGGCUACCGGUGAGAGACAUGCGGCGUUGAAACUAUUUGGGGAUGCUGUUCUUAUUUUUGUUGUUAGGGGUUUUUGGGUAGUUUAGUUUAGUUGGGCUGAAUAAAAUUGGGCUGGGUUUUGUUUUAGUGGUUAAUUUGUUUAGGCCUAGGUUUGUUUAAAAAUUUGGUCCUACAGCUGUCCCUCUUUGCUCAUUGUCGUGUAAUGAGAAUAGAGUAAAGAUUUUAGGAAGACCAAAUUUGUUUGGGCUGGCUGAGUCUUGUCUUUUUUGUCACAGCCCACCGCACUUUAUUGCUUCAAAAAUGCUCUUUUGUUGCUUCAUGUAAAUGAGAUUUGCUGAAAUUUGAUCUGCUCCGCUCCUGCUCAGCGAAGAUAAGAUUCGCUGUAUCUGACUUGCUCUACUCUUGUUCAACGGAGAUAAGAUCUGAUAUAUUUAGCCUGCUUCACUCCUGCUCAGUGAAGAUAAGGCUGAUGAUUAGAAUCUGCUCCAUCAUCAGUACGUGAAGAUUCACCAAAAUUCGAUCUGCUCUGCUCUUGCUCAACGAAGAUAAGAUCUGCUAUAUUUAACCUGCUUCACUCCUGCUCAGUGAAGAUAAGGCUGAUGAUUGGAAUCUGCUCCAUCGCCAGUACGUGGAGAUAAGAUUCGCCAAAAUUCGAUCUGCUCCGCUCCUGCUCAGCGAAGAUAAGAUCUGCUAUAUUUAGCCUGCUUCACUCCUGCUCAGUGAAGAUAAGGCUGAUGAUUGGAAUCUGUUAUAUGUAGGACCAAAUUUAUGCCCGGGACCAAUAAGCAGAGCCCAGAACACCAACCAUCCAAUUAGCACCCACUAAACUGACCACUAACUCCUAAACUACCCCACUAAGCCACCCCACUAACUCCAUCACCCUACUAAGCUACCCCACUAACUCUAUUACCCUACUUGUCACCAUGGAAGGAGGCAAUCAAUUGUAAAAUUUGGCUAUAAAAGCCAUUCAAAACUAUUGUAAAGGGGGUUGGUUUUUGGAGAUUAAUCAAAGAUCAAAGCAAAAGAGUUUUUUUUUUGUCUAUUCUUGUUUUAAGUUAUUUGUUUGUCUAUUUUUUCAUUUCAAUUUUAUUUUAUUUUUUUUAUACGAAAGUAAAAAUAAAGGGACGAAACUUACCCAUUUUAAAAUUACCGAAAAAGGAUUUUUUUGAGGUUCGGCUGCCGUGUACGGUGGCGCCGAUAGUGGCUCAUGGGGGUUUGGUGACCGGAGCAAGGUCGGACUGAUGGCCGGAUUUAGAUGGGAGGGGGAGAGUAUUAUUAUUAUUAUUAUUAUUUUAUUUUAUUUUAUUACUUUUACUAUUAUUUUAUAUAUAUUUAUUACCAUUAUUUAUUUAUUAUUAUUAGUAACAUAUUGUUAUUUUUAUUAUUAUAAUUUUUAUUAUUAUAAUGGCACUAUAUUAACUAGUUUUGUACUGUUAUUACAUUCAUCACUUCUGUUAUUACUACUGUUCUUAAUUUUCUUUAUGCUUGCUAUAUUUUAGGUAUUAAUAUAUGUUAUUAGGGUUAUUAUAUUGCUAUUUUCAUAUUGCAUGUUAUCAUUUUUUAAGUUUCAGCCGCCCAAAUUCAUUUUAUUCAAAGAUUUAUCCUCGAUUGUUUUCAAAAUAAAUGCAAUGUUCGAUAUUUAGGAUCCAUGGGAGGAUUGUGCCCUAACUUACUGGGUUCUAAUUUUCCUUGUUGAAUCUAAAUAACCGAGUACCCUUCUCAAAUUUAAUUGUAUGAAGUUCGAAUAAAAAACCUAUUCUUAAAAAUUCGGGAUGUUACACCCUAACUCACUGGGUGUGGCGUUGCGUUAUAUUGAGGAUAAUGAUUUCCAAAAUCAAGGCAAUAUUCGGUAUUUGGGAGUUUUGAGAGAUUGCGUUCUAACUUACUGAGCAUCAAUUUUUCACAAGGCUCGGAUGACCGAAUACCCUUCUCUUGAACCUCCUUACAUGAAUUGUAAAAUCGAAGACCAACUUAAUUCCGAAGGUCUGAAAUGUUGGACCCUAACUUACUGGGUAUGGCAUUCUUUCCUUCGAAAUGAGUAGGUCUUUACAUUUUAUUCGAAUAAUCUCGAUUUUCUUUCAAAUAAAAGGAUCGUACUCUAAAAUCUUUUCAAAUUUCGACAUCAAGACAUCAACUAAUCAAAUAGGUACCAAUUUCUGGGCGUUACGAGGGUGCUAAUCCUUCCUCGUACGUAACCGACUCCCGAGCCCAUUUUUUCAAACUUAUCAGACCAAAAAAAAUUAUUGUUUUAAUAGGCUCAGAUGUUUUAUUAAAACGAUUGAUUUUAAGGUGGCUCAAUCUCACUUUGGAAAAGAUUGGUGGCGACUCCAUUUACAUUUUUAAAGUCGAUCCACGUUUUUCAAAUUUAAAAUGGUUUCGACAGCUGGCUGUCCCUCUUUGCUCGUUGUCAUGUAAUGGGAACGAAGCAAAUAUUACAAAGGCCAAUUUUGCCCGGUCCUGUCAGAUCUUGGCUUCUUGGUGUAACCUUAUCGCAACCCGCUGCAUCCUAUUACUUCCAAAUGUCUCCUAGCUGUUUCAUGAAGGUAUGAUUUGUUGGAACUUUAUCUGCUCCGCUCUUGCUCAACGAAGAUAAGAUCUGCAAUUUAGCCUGCUCACUCUUGCUCAGUGAAGAUAAGGCUGAUGAUUGGAAUCUGCUCUAUUGCCGGUACGUGGAGAUAAGAUUCACCAAAAUUUGAUCUGCUCCGCUCCUACUCAGCGAAGAUAAGACCUGGUAUUUAGCCUGCUCCACUCCUACUUAGUGAAAAUAAGGCUGAUGAUUGGAAUCUGCUCCAUCGCCGGUACGUGGAGAUAUGAUUCACCAAAAUUUGAUCUGCUCCGCUCCUGCUCAACGAAGAUAAGACCUGGUAUUUAGCCUGCUCCACUCCUACUCAGUGAAGAUAAGGCUGAUGAUUAGAAUCUGCUCCAUCGCCGGUACGUGGAGAUAAGAUUCACCAAAAUUUGAUCUGCUCCGCUCCUGCUCAAUGAAGAUAAGACCUGGUAUUUAGCCUGCUCCACUCCUGCUCAGUGAAGAUAAGGCUGAUGAUUGGAAUCUGCUCCAUCGCCGGUACGUGGAGAUAUGAUUCACCAAAAUUUGAUCUGCUCCGCUCCUGCUCAACGAAGAUAAGACCUGGUAUUUAGCCUGCUCCACUCCUACUCAGUGAAGAUAAGGCUGAUGAUUAGAAUCUGCUCCAUCGCCGGUACGUGGAGAUAAGAUUCACCAAAAUUUGAUCUGCUCCGCUCCUGCUCAACGAAGAUAAGACCUGGUAUUUAGCCUGCUCCACUCCUGCUCAGUGAAGAUAAGGCUGAUGAUUGGAAUCUGCUCCAUCGCCGGUACCUGGAGAUAAGAUUCACCAAAAUUUGAUUUGCUCUGCUCUUGCUCAGCGAAGAUAAGACCUGGUAUUUAGCCUGCUCCACUCCUACUUAGUGAAAAUAAGGCUGAUGAUUGGAAUCUGCUCCAUCGCCGGUACGUGGAGAUAUGAUUCACCAAAAUUUGAUCUGCUCCGCUCUUGCUCAGCGAAGAUAAGACCUGGUAUUUAGCCUGUUCCACUCCUGCUAAGUAAAGAUAAGGCUGAUGAUAUCUGUAAUCCUGCUACAUUGUCCAUUGGGGAAUCCAUCUGUGGAAGAGUGAUAUGCUUAUGCUAGAUGAUUAGGAUGCCAAAUAUGAAUCAAAUGCUCCUAACUACAUGUAUUAUGGAUGUUAAAUGCACAAAAUGCAAAAUGUCAUGAGAAUGAUCCAUUUUUACUUUUUGGGUUGUCAUCCCUUGUUGUUUACUAAGGUAACAUCCCUAACAUAUGCCUUCUUGUUUAGCUCGGUAGAAGAGGACUUGAAGAUGCGGUUAGUCCCUUAUUUCUCACACGUUUCUAGCCUUUUUAAGCUCGGUGAGUUCUAAAUAACUGUCCUGUUUCAGGUUCUCGUAUUGUUUAGAAACCUUUCAGAGUAAUAUGCAAAACCUUCUUUUGAGAGCAUUAUUAGUUCAUUAAUCAUUAUUUCAAUGAAAAUACUUGAAAAAGAUUAUAAUGAUAGGUAGAACUGAAAUUUAUUCGAGUCAAAAUUUACGAAAGAUGUAUCAACAAAGAAAGCAGACAUUGUUUGAGAUACAAAAACGAAUGAAAAUGAAUAAAAUAGGUGUCCCAGAUUUCGCAGUUUGAGCUUCCCUGUAGAACUCCUCGGGGACCCUUUUAAACUUGGCACGCGCUCAAGGGAUCUAUAGGAUUUUGUUGAUGCCCCAAGAUGUAGCUUAUCUCCUCUUUGUCGAUUCAAGUGUAGUGAGACUUUUGCUUGCCCCAGUUUGGAUCGAAAUUUGAAUUGCCCUUUGCGGGUUUUCAAUUCAAAACCCAUUUGGUCAUAAGGUGCCCUUUUACGAGUCUUCACCUUGGCCUCUCCCUUCUUUUUUUUUUGGUGCCCUUUACGGGUUUUUACCUCAACUGCUUCAAGCAAAAUAUCUUUUGACAGAAUCUAAAUUUAUUGGGUUAGGCAAGCUUUUGCCAUCCAUCUCUGCUAGUAUCAAUGCCCCUCCAGAGAAAGCGUUCUUUACCACAUAGGGUCCUUCCCAAUUUGGCAUCCAUUUCCCCUUGAAAUCUUUUUGCAUAGGGAGAAUCUUUUUCAAUACUAAGUCCCCCUCAUGGAACACUCUAGGGCGAACUUUUUUGUUGUAGGCUCGCAUCAUUCUCCUCUGGUACAUUUGACCAUGACGAAUAGCCUUCAGCCUCUUUUCUUCAAUCAAGUUUAGUUGAUCGUAACGAGAUUGGAUCCAUUCUGCUUCAUCUAACUUCAGCUCUGAUAAAAAUCGGAGGGAAGGGAUUUCGACCUCAAUAGGUAAAACUGCCUCCAUCCCAUAGACCAAUGAGAAAGGUGUUGCCCCUGUAGAAGUCCUAACAGAUGUCUGAUAAGCAUAAAGGGCAAAUGGGAGCUUUUCAUGCCAAUCUUUGUAAGUCUCCGCCAUCUUCCCCACAAUCUUCUUAAUAUUCUUAUUAGCUGUCUCAACCGUCCCGUUCAUUUUCGGGCGGUAUGGUGAUGAGUUGUGAUGUUUAAUGUUGAACCGACUGCAGACUUAUACUAUUACGCUAUUGUUCAGAUUCAACGCGUUGUCAGAUACGAUUCUUUCUGGCAUACCAUAACUACAUACGAUUUCCUUCUUCAGGAACUUGCUGACCGCCGGCUUUGUGAUAUUGGCGUACGAAGCAGCCUCUACCCAUUUGGUAAAGUAGUCAAUGACCACAAAAAUGAAUCGAUAUCCGUUGGAAGCCUUUGGCGAAAUUGGCCCAAUGAUGUCCAUGCCCCACAUUGAGAAUGGCCAUGGGGAAGUCAUAACAUGGAGGGGUGAAGGAGGCACAUGGAUCUUAUCUCCAUAAAUUUGACACUUAUGGCACUUCUUAGCAUAGUUGAUGCAAUCUCCUUCCAUUGUAGACCAGUAAUAUCCGAAUCUCAUGAUUUGUCGAGCCAUUGUGAAACCAUUGACAUGUGUCCCACAGACACCAUCAGGGACCUCCUCUAGAAUUUUCUUUGCCUCAAUAGUAUCAACACAUCUUAACAACACCUGAUUCUUUCUUUUCUUAUAUAGGACCUCACCGUCUAGGACAUAGUCACUGGCUAACCUUCUCAAUGUUCUUUUAUCAUUUUCGGUUGCUUGAUCUGGGUACGCACGGCUCUUCUCAUAUUGUAAGAUAUCAUGAUACCAAGGACGAUCAUCUCUCUCUUCCUCUUCAUUGACAUUACAGCAGUGAGCUGAAGCCUCACCAAUACUCAUCUGAACUGGCUUCAUAUUCUCCUGUUCAUUUACUUUGAUCAUGGAAGUUAGUGUAGCCAAUGCGUCAGCCAUCUGAUUCUCGUCUCGCGGGAGGUAAUGAAAGGUAAUAUCAUCGAACUCUUCAAUUAAUUCCAGGAUUAACUUUCGGUAACUGAUCAAUUUGGGAUCUCUCGUUUCCCACUCGCCUUUAAGCUGAUAAAUUACCAAUGCAGAAUCUCCAUAUACUUCUAAUACUUUGAUUUCGCGGUCUAUAGCUGCCCGAAUUCCCAUGAUACAUGCCUCGUAUUCUGUCAUGUUAUUUGUGCAGUCAAAAUUCAGCUUGCAAGUGAACGUAUAAUGAUCUCCAUUUGGGGAUAUCAGUACUGCCCCAACUCCAUUUCCAACGGCAUUUGACGCUCUGUCAAAAUUUAGUUUCCAAGAAUGAUCUUCAGGCAUGUCUCAUUCAGCGAUUGUUACAUACAUUAGAUCUUCAUUGGGAAAAUUAAAAUUCAAAGGUUCAUAGUCCUCCAAAGCUCUACUAGCUAGGAAAUCUGCUAUUGCACUCUAUUUCACAGCUUUUUGGUUUAUAUAGACUAUGUCAAAUUCGGAGAGCAGAAUCUGCCAUCGGGCCAUCCUUCCAUUUAAAGCGGUUGACUCCAUCAUGUAUUUGAGAGGGUUUAACUUUGAGAUUAGCCAAGUUGUAUGGUACAACAUGUAUUGCCUCAAUCUUCGUGUUGUCCAAACCAAAGCACAGCAUAGCUUUUCAAUUGGCGGGUACCUCAUUUCACACUCAGUGAAUUUUUUACUGAGGUAAUAUAUCGCUCUUUCUUUUCUCCCAGUCUCAUCGUGUUGGCCGAGCACACACCCCAUCGAAUUAUCAAAUACUGUUAAGUAUAGUAUCAAUGGCCUACCAGGACUUGGUGGUGUUAGCACUGGGGGACUGGACAAAUAUUGUUUAACCUUUUCAAAGGUUUUUUGGCAUUCAUCAUCCCAUACCCUAGGAUUAUG